Molecule: ribosomal RNA, 253 nt
Filed under: uncultured bacterium
Lineage: Bacteria
Description: partial 16S ribosomal RNA
Rfam family: Bacterial small subunit ribosomal RNA
Source: RNAcentral
CACGUAGGGGGCAAGCGUUGUCCGGAAUCAUUGGGCGUAAAGAGCGUGUAGGCGGCCAGAAAAGUCCGCUGUGAAAACUCGAGGCUCAACUUCGAGCUGUCGGUGGAAACUUUCUGGCUAGAGUCCGGAAGAGGAGAAUGGAAUUCCUGGUGUAGCGGUGAAAUGCGCAGAUAUCAGGAAGAACACCCGUGGCGAAGGCGGUUCUCUGGGACGGUACUGACGCUGAGACGCGAAAGCGUGGGGAGCGAACAGG